This 454-nucleotide ribosomal RNA is filed under the name uncultured organism. RNAcentral's name for it is "partial 16S ribosomal RNA". It matches the Rfam family "Bacterial small subunit ribosomal RNA", at positions 330 to 800 of the family's 1533-position model. The record is from RNAcentral.
CGUACACUCCUACGGGAGGCAGCAGUGGGGAAUAUUGGACAAUGGGCGCAAGCCUGAUCCAGCCAUGCCGCGUGAGUGAUGAAGGCCCUAGGGUUGUAAAGCUCUUUCACCGGAGAAGAUAAUGACGGUAUCCGGAGAAGAAGCCCCGGCUAACUUCGUGCCAGCAGCCGCGGUAAUACGAAGGGGGCUAGCGUUGUUCGGAAUUACUGGGCGUAAAGCGCACGUAGGCGGAUCGAUCAGUCAGGGGUGAAAUCCCAGGGCUCAACCCUGGAACUGCCUUUGAUACUGUCGAUCUGGAGUAUGGAAGAGGUGAGUGGAAUUCCGAGUGUAGAGGUGAAAUUCGUAGAUAUUCGGAGGAACACCAGUGGCGAAGGCGGCUCACUGGUCCAUUACUGACGCUGAGGUGCGAAAGCGUGGGGAGCAAACAGGAUUAGAUACCCGUGUAGUCCCAUGA